This 481-nucleotide ribosomal RNA is filed under the name uncultured bacterium. RNAcentral's name for it is "bacterial SSU rRNA". It matches the Rfam family "Bacterial small subunit ribosomal RNA", at positions 34 to 507 of the family's 1533-position model. The record is from RNAcentral.
CGCUAGCGACAGGGCCUAACACAUGCAAGUCGGAGGGGCAGCACGAAGUAAGCUUGCUUACUUUGGUGGCGACCGGCGCACGGGUGCGUAACAGGGUGUGCAAUCUGUCCAUAAUCGGGGAAUAGCCCAGCGAAAGUUGGAUUAAUGCUCCAUGUGAGUUUUUAGAGGCAUCUCUUUAAUUUGAAACGUAAGGAUUAUGGGCAUGCGUAUGAUUAGCUAGUUGGCGGGGUAACGGCCCACCAAGGCGACGAUCAUUAGGGGUUCUGAGAGGAAGGUCCCCCACAUUGGAACUGAGACACGGUCCAAACUCCUACGGGAGGCAGCAGUGAGGAAUAUUGGUCAAUGGACGAGAGUCUGAACCAGCCAUGUCGCGUGAAGGAUGACUGUCCUAUGGAUUGUAAACUUCUUUUAUAUGGGGAUAAAGUGUGAGACUUGUCUCAUUUUGCAUGUACCAUAUGAAUAAGCAUCGGCUAACUCCGUG